CGGGACGGGUGAGUAACGCGUGGGUAACCGUGCCUCACACAGGGGAGUAACAGUUGGAAACGGCUGCUAAUACCGCAUAAGCGCACAGUACCGCAUGGUACAGUGUGAAAAACUCCGGUGGUGUGAGAUGGACCCGCGUCUGAUUAGCUAGUUGGCAGGGCAACGGCCUACCAAGCCGACGAUCAGUAGCCGACCUGAGAGGGUGACCGGCCACAUUGGGACUGAGACACGGCCCAA
This 237-nucleotide ribosomal RNA is filed under the name uncultured bacterium. RNAcentral describes it as "partial 16S ribosomal RNA". It matches the Rfam family "Bacterial small subunit ribosomal RNA", at positions 100 to 334 of the family's 1533-position model. The record is from RNAcentral.